UACGGAGGUGCGAGCGUUGUCCGGAAUCAUUGGGCGUAAAGGGCGCGUAGGUGGCCCGGUCAGUUCGUGGUGAAAGCGCGGGGCUCAACCCUGCGUCGGCCAUGAAUACUGCCGCGGCUGGAGCACUGUAGAGGCAGGCGGAAUUCCGGGUGUAGCGGUGGAAUGCGUAGAGAUCCGGAAGAACACCGGUGGCGAAGGCGGCCUGCUGGGCAGUUGCUGGACACUGAGGCGCGACAGCGUGGGGAGCA
This 248-nucleotide ribosomal RNA is filed under the name uncultured bacterium. RNAcentral describes it as "partial 16S ribosomal RNA". It matches the Rfam family "Bacterial small subunit ribosomal RNA", at positions 524 to 770 of the family's 1533-position model. The record is from RNAcentral.